RNAcentral lists this ribosomal RNA (253 nucleotides) under uncultured bacterium. RNAcentral describes it as "partial 16S ribosomal RNA". It matches the Rfam family "Bacterial small subunit ribosomal RNA", at positions 524 to 776 of the family's 1533-position model. The record is from RNAcentral.
UACGGGGGGGGUAAGCGUUGUUCGGAAUUACUGGGCGUAAAGGGCUCGUAGGCGGCCAACUAAGUCAGACGUGAAAUCCCUCAGCUUAACUGGGGAACUGCGUCUGAUACUGGAUGGCUUGAGAUUGGGAGAGGGAUGCGGAAUUCCAGGUGUAGCGGUGAAAUGCGUAGACAUCUGGAGGAACACCGGUGGCGAAGGCGGCAUCCUGGACCAACACUGACACUGAGGAGCGAAAGCCAGGGGAGCAAACGGG